UCGAGCGAACACAGAAGGAGCUUGCUCCUUUGACGUUAGCGGCGGACGGGUGAGUAACACGUGGGCAACCUACCUUAUAGUUUGGGAUAACUCCGGGAAACCGGGGCUAAUACCGAAUAAUCUGUUUCACCUCAUGGUGAAACACUGAAAGACGGUUUCGGCUGUCGCUAUAGGAUGGGCCCGCGGCGCAUUAGCUAGUUGGUGAGGUAACGGCUCACCAAGGCGACGAUGCGUAGCCGACCUGAGAGGGUGAUCGGCCACACUGGGACUGAGACACGGCCCAGACUCCUACGGGAGGCAGCAGUAGGGAAUCUUCCACAAUGGGCGAAAGCCUGAUGGAGCAACGCCGCGUGAGUGAAGAAGGAUUUCGGUUCGUAAAACUCUGUUGUAAGGGAAGAACAAGUACAGUAGUAACUGGCUGUACCUUGACGGUACCUUAUUAGAAAGCCACGGCUAACUACGUGCCAGCAGCCGCGGUAAUACGUAGGUGGCAAGCGUUGUCCGGAAUUAUUGGGCGUAAAGCGCGCGCAGGUGGUUUCUUAAGUCUGAUGUGAAAGCCCACGGCUCAACCG
RNAcentral lists this ribosomal RNA (572 nucleotides) under Lysinibacillus sp. TISAE13. RNAcentral describes it as "bacterial SSU rRNA". It matches the Rfam family "Bacterial small subunit ribosomal RNA", at positions 62 to 615 of the family's 1533-position model. RNAcentral also lists the same sequence under 1 other name. Lineage: Bacteria; Bacillati; Bacillota; Bacilli; Caryophanales; Bacillaceae. The record is from RNAcentral.